UGGAUGAUGUGGUUUAAUUCGAUGCAACGCGAAAAACCUUACCCACCUUUGACAUGUAGGAACCCUUUAGAGAUAGAGGGUGCUCGAAAGAGAGCCGUAACACAGGUGCUGCAUGGCUGUCGUCAGCUCGUGUCGUGAGAUGUUGGGUUAAGUCCCGCAACGAGCGCAACCCUUGUCAUUAGUUGCUACAUUCAGUUGGGCACUCUAAUGAGACUGCCGGUGACAAGCCGGAGGAAGGUGGGGAUGACGUCAAGUCCUCAUGGCCCUUAUAGGUGGGGCUACACACGUCAUACAAUGGCUGGUACAAAGGGUUGCCAACCCGCGAGGGGGAGCCAAUCCCAUAAAGCCAGUCGUAGUCCGGAUCGUAGUCUGCAACUCGACUACGUGAAGUCGGAAUCGCUAGUAAUCGCGGAUCAGCACGCCGCGGUCGAAUACGUUCCGGGCCUU
This 447-nucleotide ribosomal RNA is filed under the name uncultured Rhodoferax sp. Its description in RNAcentral is "bacterial SSU rRNA". It matches the Rfam family "Bacterial small subunit ribosomal RNA", at positions 933 to 1382 of the family's 1533-position model. Lineage: Bacteria; Pseudomonadati; Pseudomonadota; Betaproteobacteria; Burkholderiales; Comamonadaceae. The record is from RNAcentral.